Molecule: long non-coding RNA, 298 nt
Organism: Adelges cooleyi (spruce gall adelgid)
Lineage: Eukaryota; Metazoa; Arthropoda; Insecta; Hemiptera; Adelgidae
Exons: 3
Source: RefSeq, a predicted model, not a curated record
UUUUUUUGUUUUCUAACUAUUACUGUAUUUAUUCUCAAAGUUCUCCACGAACCAAAAUCAAAAAUGGGCGCAGAAAAGGUAUCCAUGAACAUUGUUGUGGUCGGACAAGUGCAAUCCGCCAAAUCGGCCAAAACCGUCACCAAGGCCCAACCCCAAGUUUCUCAAUACAAUAUGAGCUGUUAAUUCAACUCGUAUUUCUCCAUCUCAAAAAUGCCAUAGACCAACCAGAUAUCAUGUGCAAUAUGUAUAAACUUAAUUUGUUGUACUUAAAAUAAAUCAAUAAACUGGCUUUCCGUUA